GCUGUAACUCAGUGGUAGAGCAUUUGCCUUGCAUUCAGAAGGUCCAAGUUCAAUCCUUGGCAUCACCA
Molecule: non-coding RNA, 68 nt
Organism: Podarcis lilfordi (Lilford's wall lizard)
Lineage: Eukaryota; Metazoa; Chordata; Lepidosauria; Squamata; Lacertidae
Source: the annotation of a GenBank genome assembly